RNAcentral lists this ribosomal RNA (429 nucleotides) under Chloroflexota bacterium. RNAcentral's name for it is "Chloroflexi bacterium partial 16S ribosomal RNA". It matches the Rfam family "Bacterial small subunit ribosomal RNA", at positions 355 to 776 of the family's 1533-position model. Lineage: Bacteria; Bacillati; Chloroflexota. The record is from RNAcentral.
UGGGGAAUAUUGCACAAUGGGCGCAAGCCUGAUGCAGCCAUGCCGCGUGUAUGAAGAAGGCCUUCGGGUUGUAAAGUACUUUCAGUCGGGAGGAAGGUGGUAAGGUUAAUAACCUUAUCAAUUGACGUUACCCGCAGAAGAAGCACCGGCUAACUCCGUGCCAGCAGCCGCGGUAAUACGGAGGGUGCAAGCGUUAAUCGGAAUUACUGGGCGUAAAGCGCACGCAGGCGGUCUGUCAAGUCGGAUGUGAAAUCCCCGGGCUCAACCUGGGAACUGCAUUCGAAACUGGCAGGCUAGAGUCUUGUAGAGGGGGGUAGAAUUCCAGGUGUAGCGGUGAAAUGCGUAGAGAUCUGGAGGAAUACCGGUGGCGAAGGCGGCCCCCUGGACGAAGACUGACGCUCAGGUGCGAAAGCGUGGGGAGCAAACAGG